AAGUCCAUUGGGACCAUGGCCUCAACGCAACAGCAAGUCGGCCAUUUUAAAUUCGGCAUCCGUCUUCCAGCCAUUUGCACGCUUCAUAAACGAACAAACUCGUCUGAGAGCGUUUAUCAUACCGACAUAAAAAGUAUGACAAUUUGAAGUACCCCUAUAACUUCACCAUACAUUGCCACAAAACUUCAUACGUGACACAAGAGACCGAUCCUGAACACGUCUACGGACACAAAUUUGACCCAGAAGGCGGUCUGCCAUUUUGAAUUUAGCCGCCAUUUGGCCUUGAAGCGGCACGUGCCCUCUUACUUAUUAUUAUUCUGUGGCUUUGCGGUCAUUUUUGAGGGGAUUGUUGAGUGAGGGAGAGGGGUGAGGUCUGGACUUUUUCCCCCCAUGAAUUACAAUAGGUCCUCGCACCACGAGUCCUUGGGCCCGAAUAAAAAUACAUAUAUUGCAUACAGCUUGAAGAUUUGAGACGAACCUGUUGGUGGCGUGCUUCCAUGGUGAUGAGCGGGUCUCUGAACUUCUUCCUUGUUUGACUUACAUCUAGUGCCAGUUCCUCCAUCAUCCCAGAGUCCAACAGCUCUUGCUCCAUCAGGUCUUGUAGGACGUGGUUAACAGUGCUGCACUCAUUGUUCUCAGCCAGACAGUUGUAGAGGUCUAUGUGUGUUUGUCAAGUGAGUCGAAAAAGCAUUUGGUCACAUUUUAAAAGUGAUUCUGGUGAUUUUUUCAUUGAUUUCUUUCGCUACAAACAUGUCAUUUCAUUUCACAAAUCUAAUCAUUUCUGCCUAAAACAACUGUGGUUCUUCUGAAGCAGACUGACAGUGGACACGGCCAGGCUUAUUUUCACAGCAGUACAAACACAUUUAGCCAUGUGAGGUAACCUAAAAGACAGGACAGUGUGACAAACAAAACAAAAUAAAACAUAAUCACUGGUUGCCUGUCCCUGCCAUUUUACAGUCAACUCUGAAGACACCAACUGAAACAAAUGAUAGUAAUACAGUUCACACUGUGACCAAUUGCAAAAUAUUGUCUAGUUUUAAGUCCCUGCUGGUGGUUUUUCAUAUUCUAAUGAAAAUCACAGCAAACCCAUGAGGUGCCUGUAAAGAAGGAAAACAAUUGGAAGACAUUUAAAAAUGGUAAAGAAAAGGCUACAGGACUUAAUAUGUUAAUAUGGAAAAAUGUGCAAAAUGGACAAAUAAAUAACCCUAUACUGUAUAUGACUACAUGAUGUAUAAUGGACUUCUAUCCUGACUGAACCCAGUGGGAGUAGGUUAUUCAAAACUGGAAGUGCAUGCAUCCACUGAACAUUGAAUAUUGAAAUUAUCUGGCUUGGAAAAAGGUUGACGCUUGACUUUCAGGUCAAACUUACUGUGUGGUUAUAUUUGUGUUCUCUGCGCCUUCAGUCGAGGUGCAACGUUAGGGAAUUAAUCUUUUGUUUGACUUAUUCCUUUUAAGAUGUCCUGGUUCAACCUUUACAGCAUUUAUAGUCUCUAUCAGUAGCCACUAUGUCACUAUCACCACAAGACCACAAAUUCAAUUUAUUCUUGAUUGAUAUCUAUGGAAUCUAUCGAAUUAUCAAAUCGGAUAAUAUAAUGCACUUUUUAUUUAUACAUAUAUAUAUAUAUAUAUAUAUGUGUGUAUAUGUGUAUAUACCAUUGAAGUUGUCAUAGUUCAUGGCAGUGGGCUGGGAACAAGCCAGUGCAGCAGGUUCUUCAGUCUCAGUGUAGCACAUUAGGUCAUCUUCGUCAUCCAUCUCCAGCUCCAGCCGCAACUUACUGCUGAGCCAAUCACCAAGAAGAGCCUGAGCUGCAAUACACAACGCCCACAUGUCAAUGAUCCGUCUGCUGCUGCACGAGGCCAACACUCUCCACUACACAUGAAUCACUCCUCCAGAGACGUCUCUUACAUGUUACUGACUGACUAACCUUCACUGUAUGCGUCGUCAUGAUCUCUUAACUGGUCACAGCUCUGCAGAGGCACAGUGCGGCCGCCGCCGCUUCCUGAAGGAGGUUUCUUCUUCUUGUCUGAGAAGACUUCAGAGACGGCAAACUCGGAGGCCGACUCCACACGCUGAGGGUCGUUCAGAAUAAACAAAAACACAUCAA
This is a long non-coding RNA of Solea senegalensis (Senegalese sole), 2105 nucleotides long. RefSeq lists it as uncharacterized. The transcript is spliced from 2 exons. The record is from RefSeq and is a predicted model, not a curated record. Lineage: Eukaryota; Metazoa; Chordata; Actinopteri; Pleuronectiformes; Soleidae.